RNAcentral lists this unclassified non-coding RNA (645 nucleotides) under Hevea brasiliensis (rubber tree). The record is from RNAcentral. Lineage: Eukaryota; Viridiplantae; Streptophyta; Magnoliopsida; Malpighiales; Euphorbiaceae.
AGGAUUAAUUGUUACACUAAUAGAAUUGAUCAUGCUUUGAAUUUAGCUAAACACAGAUCAAACUUAAUUUGCAAAUAACAACAAUGAAAAAUUGUAUGACAAGCAAUAAACUCUUCAAGAUUUUUGAGGUUCAGGUCCUAAAAUACCAUUGACUACAGCUCCGGCAAUCAAAACUCCGACAAAUUCAGCUCCGGCCACCGCUCCAGCUUGCGCCAACCCACCGAAACUUACUGUACUCUCGAUCUUCUCCUCCGCUGCUUCAAUCCCCUUCUCAGCCGUCAGUAAUCCUUUCUCCGCCGCUUCAAUUCCCUUCUCUGCCGCUGCAAUUCCCUUGUCUGCCGCCUCGAAUCCCUCCUUCACUAAUUCUUCUGCCUCAUCUUCUACUUUCUUAAGCUUCUUUCUCAGUCCAAAGAGGCCAAUGUCCGCAGCCUUGGACGGCAUCUCCAGCGCUUUCACUACCGUUGUCGCCGUCACCAGAGAGAUCAACUGCCUCCGCCCCCGGAGAGCCACCGCUGCCUGUUUGGUAGGGGGAUUUGUGUUUGCAUUUAGCACACAACGGGGUGGGUAAGUCCUUACUGUAAGUGAAGUAGUUGUGGAAGACAUGGCUAUGCUCUCUGUACAAUCAAAAUGAAGUCUGCACUCCUU